UACGUAGGGUGCGAGCGUUGUCCGGAAUUAUUGGGCGUAAAGAGCUUGUAGGCGGUCUGUCGCGUCUGCUGUGAAAAUCCGGGGCUCAACCCCGGACUUGCAGUGGGUACGGGCAGACUAGAGUGUGGUAGGGGAGACUGGAAUUCCUGGUGUAGCGGUGAAAUGCGCAGAUAUCAGGAGGAACACCGAUGGCGAAGGCAGGUCUCUGGGCCACUCCUGACGCUGAGACGCGAAAGCUAGGGGAGCGAACAGG
RNAcentral lists this ribosomal RNA (253 nucleotides) under uncultured bacterium. RNAcentral's name for it is "partial 16S ribosomal RNA". It matches the Rfam family "Bacterial small subunit ribosomal RNA", at positions 524 to 776 of the family's 1533-position model. The record is from RNAcentral.